Molecule: ribosomal RNA, 403 nt
Filed under: uncultured bacterium
Lineage: Bacteria
Description: partial 16S ribosomal RNA
Rfam family: Bacterial small subunit ribosomal RNA
Source: RNAcentral
GACGAACGCUGGCGGCGUGCCUAAUACAUGCAAGUCGAACGCAGUGGGGACGGGUGAGUAACACGUGGGUAACCUCCCAUCAGAGGGGAUAACACUUGGCAACAGGUGCUAAACCGAUACUGAUUGAUGGAACCGCGGUGCAUUAGGUAGUUGGGGAGGUAACGGCUCACCAAGGCCACGAUGCAUAGCCGGCCUGGGAGGAUGAUCGGCCACACUGGGACUGAGACACGGCCCAGACUCCUACGGGAGGCAGCAGUAGGGAAUAUUGGGCAAUGGACGAAAGUCUGACCGAGCAACGCCGCGUGAGUGAAGAAGGUUUUCGGAUCGUAAAACUCUUUUGUUAGAGAAGCGGUAUCUAAACAGAAAGCCACGACUAACUACGUGCCAGCAGCCGCGGUAAUUC